Molecule: long non-coding RNA, 2256 nt
Organism: Takifugu rubripes (torafugu)
Lineage: Eukaryota; Metazoa; Chordata; Actinopteri; Tetraodontiformes; Tetraodontidae
Source: Ensembl
ACACCCACACACACCUACUCAUUCACACACACACUCACACACACACACUCACUCACUCACACCCACACACACACACACUCACUCACACCCACACACACACACACUCACACACACACCUACUCACACACACACACACUCACACACACCCACACACACACACACACACCCACACACACUCACACCCACUCACACCCACUCACACUCACACCCACCCACUCACACACACCCACUCACACACCCACACACACACACUCACACCCACACACACACACACACCUACUCAUUCACACACACUCACACACACCCACUCACACACCCACACACACUCACACACACCCACACACACACACUCACUCACACCCACACACACACACACACCUACUCAUUCACACACACACUCACACACCCACUCACACCCACUCACACACACCCACCCACUCUCACACCCACACACACUCACACACACACACACACACCCACACACACACACACACUCACUCACACACACCCACACACACACACCCACACCCCCCCCCACUCACACUCACACCCACUCACACACACACACACCCACUCACACCCCCCCCACUCACACUCACACCCACUCACACACACACACACACACACCCACCCACUCACACACACUCACACACCCCCCCACACACACUCACACCCACUCACACUCACACCCACUCACACCCACUCACACUCACACCCACACCCACUCACACCCACUCACACACACACACACCCACUCACACUCACACCCACUCACACCCACUCACACUCACACUCACACACACUCACACCCCCCCCCACUCACACUCACACCCACUCACACACACACACACACACACACACCCACUCACACACACCCCCACACACACUCACACCCACUCACAAUCACACCCACUCACACUCACACCCACUCACACACACUCACACCCACUCACACACUCACACACACACACACCCACCCCCCCACACACACUCACACCCACUCACACUCACUCACACCCACACACACCCACACCCACACACACUCACACCCACUCACACACACACUCACACCCACUCACACACCCACACCCACUCACACACUCACACACUCACACACACACACACACACACACACCCACUCACACACACUCACACCCCCCCACUCACACCCACUCACACACACACACCCACUCACACACACUCACACCCCCCCCCACUCACACUCACACCCACUCACACACACACACACCCACCCACUCACACACACUCACACACCCCCCCACACACACUCACACCCACUCACACUCACACCCACUCACACCCACUCACACACCCCCCCACACACACCCACACCCACACACACUCACACCCACUCACCCACUCACACACACUCACACCCCCCCCCACUCACACUCACACCCACUCACACACACACACACCCACCCACUCACACACACUCACACACCCCCCCACACACACUCACACCAACUCACACUCACACCCACUCACACCCACUCACACACCCCCCCACACCCCCCCACACCCACACCCACUCACCCACUCACCCACUCACACACCCACACCCACUCACACACUCACACACUCACACACCCACUCACACACUCACACACUCACACACACACCCCCCCCCCCCACACACACACACCCACAGCUCUGAGUGUUGUGCUCACGGUUCCGGCCCACUGGGCCCCUUCCACCCGGGGGUCCGUGGGGGGCAGAGAAGAGGGCCAGCUGGGGGGUCGGGGACUGGCCAUCGCUGACGAUGACCUCGUCUUCAUCUUCCAGCUCGUUGCCAUGGAGCUCCGGCAGCUUCACCUUCCUUCAAGAAUGGAAGGCACAGUCAGGCAUCAGCUCGAGCCACCAUCGUGCACGCCGUCUACUCGUGCACGCCGCCUACUCGUGCACGCCGUCUGCUGGCCCCACCUCUUCCUUCUGGUCUUUCUGGUCGCAGGGACGUUCUGCUCCUCUCCGUCCCCCCCCGGCUCAUCGGUGGUUCCGUUGGGUACGUCCAGAUUGUCCGUGUCCUGGUCUACAACACAAGACGGCCCUCUGGGGACUGAAGAAAGAGACCGAUCGUGUCCCACAUGGAACCUACCAGUUGGGGGGGUUCUCUUCUUUUUCUUCUUCUUCUGUGGUGCUGGGUCUCCAGGCUCUGAAGUCAGGGGGUCUCUGCUGGUGGUCCCAUCCUCGGUCUCCAUUUCCAGAGCAACUACAGAAGAUUGGAGAACGUGCUGA